UUGAGCUGAGGAUGAUUUAAAGUUAUCCCUGUCUGAAAUGCCAUCUUGUGGAGUCCUGAUUACUGAAGCUCAA
Cavia aperea (Brazilian guinea pig) is the source of this 73-nucleotide small nucleolar RNA. Ensembl annotates it as small nucleolar RNA, C/D box 1C. NCBI's taxonomy places the organism in Eukaryota, Metazoa, Chordata, Mammalia, Rodentia, Caviidae. The record is from Ensembl.